Lactuca sativa (garden lettuce) is the source of this 1235-nucleotide long non-coding RNA. RefSeq lists it as uncharacterized. NCBI's taxonomy places the organism in Eukaryota, Viridiplantae, Streptophyta, Magnoliopsida, Asterales, Asteraceae. The record is from RefSeq and is a predicted model, not a curated record.
UUGAAGAUUAUGAUUCAUUCCGUUAAAAAUAACCAAAUGAAGGGCUGUUUGUGGAUAAAUGGAAUCACCUUUUGGGAACCGGGGCCGAAUUUGAAUAAAGAAUUUUACAGUGGGGGCAAUUUAGUCAUUUUAUAAAAUGACUUCAACUUAGGGCUCAUAAGCCCCCGUCUCUUUUGUUUUGAUCGGGUAAUGGAUAUGAAUUGCUCCCAAAGUAAGUCACAAAUGAACAGAUGAACAAGGGCAGUCGAUCAUAGACGCGAAGGGGCAAUCGGCGACCAGAAGGGAGCACGAUGGUUCGUCGCUCGACUCGCAAUCGGUGGCGGCCUCCGGGGUUCGACUAGGCUGAAGAAGGAGAAGUGUCGAAGCAGCGAGGCGGCUGUGACCUCGGACUAGAAGAAAGAGACGAAGCAGCGGGGCUGUUCGUCUUCGGUCUUGGAAGGAGUUGCGAAGGGAUGGUCUCCGGGGUCGGCGAGGCUGAAGCAACGACGACGGGAAGAAACAGAGAGGAUGCCGAGGUCUUUGUCUUCAACUGAUCAGGGAAGAAACGAAAUUGAAGAAGCAAACAGAGGUGGGGAAUCGGAGUUGGCGAAAAAGCUCCGUCGAGGGAGGCAGAGCCGGCAGCAAAGGGCUGCUCCGGCGAUCUCUUUUCUUUUCUGGUUCGAUCGGCAUCAACUCUCGAAGGAGGAGGAAGGACUUCGGUCCACUGCCUUUGUCUGAUCGAGAAGAAGAAUCCGGUUGGAAGCAGUCACAAGGGUGGUUCGAUGGUGGUUGCAGAUGGGAGUUGUAAGGCGGAAGGUGGGUGGCAUGGGUGAUGGAGGAAGCUGGCGACAGUAGCAGCUCGGGUGGGGCGGUUGGUUGGUUCAACUUCAACCUAAAAUUGAACGGAAUCAGUAACAGGUGGGAAGACUUUGAAAGAAAGGGGAAAUAGAAGGUGGGUUUACUGUCUUCACCCAGAUUUUGGAAGUCUUUUUGAUGGAUUUGUGGUACUUGGAAAUCUUGGAAGGAUUUUGAGAGCGCAUUGUACUUAUUGGUUCAUGUGUGUAGAAGUGUGAUGUAUUGAUUGUGUAUAGUGUGAUGCUUCCUGUAUUAUUUGUUUAAUGCUUCCUGUAUUAUUGUAUUUGUUUUAGAUUUUGAAGGCAAUAAUGCAUAUGCACAAUACUUAUACACUCCUAUAUCAAGGUUUACCAUGUAUGAUGGUAAGAAAUAUAAAGAGUUCGGGAUUUGUAUAUAGUAAA